RNAcentral lists this transfer RNA (72 nucleotides) under Loxodonta africana (African savanna elephant). It matches the Rfam family "tRNA". Rfam says of the family: Transfer RNA (tRNA) molecules are approximately 80 nucleotides in length. Their secondary structure includes four short double-helical elements and three loops (D, anti-codon, and T loops). The record is from Rfam by way of RNAcentral. Lineage: Eukaryota; Metazoa; Chordata; Mammalia; Proboscidea; Elephantidae.
GCCCUGGUGGCACAGUGUUUAAGUGCUUGGCUGCUAACCAAAAAGUUGGUGGUUCGAACCCACCUAGCAGCG